RNAcentral lists this ribosomal RNA (690 nucleotides) under uncultured bacterium. RNAcentral's name for it is "bacterial SSU rRNA". It matches the Rfam family "Bacterial small subunit ribosomal RNA", at positions 32 to 715 of the family's 1533-position model. The record is from RNAcentral.
AACGCUAGCUACAGGCUUAACGCAUGCAAGUCGAGGGGCAGCAUUAGGUAGCAAUACUGAGAUGGCGACCGGCGCACGGGUGCGUAACGCGUAUCCAACUUUCCCGUUACUCUGGGAUAGCCUUCCGAAAGGGAGAUUAAUACCGGAUGGUGUUGAAAUUUCGCAUGUUAUUUCAACUAAAGAUUUAUCGGUAACGGAUAGGGAUGCGUGACAUUAGGUAGAUGGCGGGGUAACGGCCCACCAUGCCUACGAUGUCUAGGGGUUCUGAGAGGAAGGUCCCCCACACUGGGACUGAGACACGGUCCAGACUCCUACGGGAGGCAGCAGUGAGGAAUAUUGGUCAAUGGUCGGAAGACUGAACCAGCCAAGUAGCGUGAAGGAUGAAGGUUCUAUGGAUUGUAAACUUCUUUUAUAUAGGAAUAAAACCUCCCACGUGUGGGAGCUUGUAUGUACUAUAUAAAUAAGCAUCGGCUAACUCCGUGCCAGCAGCCGCGGUAAUACGGAGGAUGCGAGCGUUAUCCGGAUUUAUUGGGUUUAAAGGGAGCGUAGACGGGAUGUUAAGUCAGUUGUGAAAGGCUGCGGCUCAACCGCAGCACUGCAGUUGAUACUGGCGUCCUUGAGUGCGGUUGAGGUGUGUGGAAUUCGUGGUGUAGCGGUGAAAUGCUUAGAUAUCACGAAGAACUCCGAUUG